CCUCCUGUAUUUUACUUUUCACUUCCUAAUCCUUGAUACCGAUCAACAAAAUCCUGAUGGUGUUUUCUCACUACAAUAAAAACGGUCUAUAGUGACACUUUUAAAUAUAGGUACAUGUCAAAAAAAUGCUGCUAGCUAAAAUUACCGACACUUUUAAAAAGUGUUGCUAUAUGUGGGGUCGCUAGGUAUAUAGUGACAGUUAAAGAGUGUCGCUAUAACCUAAAAGAGUGCUGCUAAUUUACCAACACUUAUUUAAGCAUUUAGCAACCGCCGAAACUCUAUCUCGUUGGCUGCGGUGGCGGAGAAGGACGACAGGAAAGGCUCUUCGUCUAGAAUUUCAGUGGAUUGAGUGAAGAGAGAAGAAAAUAUGGUAAUUGAUUUUUCUUUUUUUUUUUCUUUUCUGUUUGUAAUCGGACCAAAUGGACUGGAUGUGGUGGGUUGAAUAGAGUAAUCUUUUAUUUUUGGUUGGAUUGGGCUUUCUAUUUAGGCAUUAGUAGAUGUUUUUUUAAGUUUUAGGAUAAAUGGGACACUUACUCAAAAGUGUCCCAAACAUGUGUCGCUAUAACCUAAUUCUGUUGU
Molecule: long non-coding RNA, 579 nt
Filed under: Ananas comosus (pineapple)
Lineage: Eukaryota; Viridiplantae; Streptophyta; Magnoliopsida; Poales; Bromeliaceae
Description: long non-coding RNA (ACOM_LNC036944)
Source: RNAcentral